CAGCAGCAGCCGCGGGAAUACGGAGGGUGCAAGCGUUAAUCGGAAUUACUGGGCGUAAAGCGCACGCAGGCGGUCUGACAAGUCAGAUGUGAAAUCCCCGGGCUUAACCUGGGAACUGCAUUUGAAACUGUCAGGCUGGAGUCUUGUAGAGGGGGGUGGAAUUCCAGGUGUAGCGGUGAAAUGCGUAGAGAUCUGGAGGAAUACCGGUGGCGAAGGCGGCCCCCUGGACAAAGACUGACGCUCAGGUGCGAAAGCGUGGGGAGCAAACAGGAUUAGAUACCCCUGUAGUCCCUGUCUCUUAUAC
RNAcentral lists this ribosomal RNA (304 nucleotides) under uncultured bacterium. RNAcentral describes it as "partial 16S ribosomal RNA". It matches the Rfam family "Bacterial small subunit ribosomal RNA", at positions 506 to 807 of the family's 1533-position model. The record is from RNAcentral.